This 277-nucleotide ribosomal RNA is filed under the name uncultured bacterium. RNAcentral describes it as "partial 16S ribosomal RNA". It matches the Rfam family "Bacterial small subunit ribosomal RNA", at positions 28 to 316 of the family's 1533-position model. The record is from RNAcentral.
GACUAACGCUGGCGGCGUGCCUAACACAUGCAAGUCGAGCGGGGUAGCAAUACCCAGCGGCAGACGGGUGAGUAACACGUAGUCAACCUUCCCUUGCGUGGGGGAUAACUAGCCGAAAGGUUAGCUAAUACCGCAUACGAUCUUCAUCGGCAUCGUUGAAGAUGAAAGAAGCAAUUCGCGCGAGGACGGGACUGCGUCCCAUUAGCUAGAUGGUGGGGUAACGGCCUACCAUGGCGACGAUGGGUAGCUGGUUUGAGAGAGCGACCAGCCACACUGG